This 7723-nucleotide long non-coding RNA is filed under the name Brassica napus (rape). RNAcentral describes it as "long non-coding RNA (BNAP_LNC017797)". The record is from RNAcentral. Lineage: Eukaryota; Viridiplantae; Streptophyta; Magnoliopsida; Brassicales; Brassicaceae.
CGUUUACAAGCCAAAUUAGUAUCCAUAAAGCUCAACUGAACAGUGCAGAGAUGUAUGACAGGAAUAGCACCCAAACAAAACAUCAUUUAACAAAUCAGAACCAUAAGCCUCACAAGUUAAGCCUCAUUUUACGGCUAUAUGACCAUAUAAAACAAGCUAUGAAUUCAAGAACCAUCGCUUACAGUAGGAUCAGCAGCAGCAACAGGAGCUGAGUCCACUAUGCAACCUUUAACCCUUCCCAUCAAUGAAGAAUCUUGCUUCUGAAACUUUUCCAAAAUGGCUCCAUAUGUUAACCAUCCGGUGUUGCUGAAGGUAUGAAAGACGAGAUUCUUAUGUUGCUCUUCAUCCAACCAAUCAGCCAAAUGAUUAACCAGCGACUCGAUGUUCUUCUCUGCUUUUCCUCCAACUUGGUAGCUCAUAAUCUCAUUCAUGGGGAGAGUAAACGUGAUCACAUGGUAACCCCUUGAAGUAUACCAUUCUGCAUAUUUCUUCAUAUGCUUCUGCUUCGAUCCAAGCCAUCCCAGCAAAACCACGACGGUCCUAUUCUUCUCCAACGCACAUCUCGAGGAGCCAGAGAGAUCAACUGCACCAGUCUCGGGCAAAUGCCAUUUGUACGAAACAUCAGGAACAACAAGAGAGGCCCCAGUUGUGAAUGCUGCUGGUUUUGAUGCCUUAGCCAACUCCGCAGACUGAUAAGCGCUACGAAGAGCGGGCAACGAAGUAACAGAAGGAGCGAGAUUACAGCUGGGGUUAGGAGCUAGGUGAUUAACGUUUGGUACAAUGAGACGAAUCCUGGACAUGAAAGAUAAAUCAGCGAGCUUGGAGGCUGAGAUAUGAGAAACCCAUAAUGACUUUUCGUCCUGAACCGAACCAGACACUGAAGCAGCAAUAGGCUCUGGUUCAGAACCUCGAACAAGUGAUCUAAGAGAGGAGAACUUGUCAGAGACAUCUGCAGAGACAGAAGCGGCGAUAACAGCUGCAGCAGCAACAAGUGGCCGUUGGAUACUCCCAGACAAAUAACUCAUGAUGGCCACAAUCUAAAUCCAAAACUAGCAUAAAAGUCUCAAUGCAAUGGAAAGGACUCCUGUUAUAUAAGAAGAGAAAUAGUAGUGUAAAUAUAAGUAUACACACACACAAAACACAUGUUGAAAACGCGUGUAAGACUACAAGAUUGUUGGGACAUGCUGUAAAUUACCUGGAAGCAGAGCUUCCUUUUGAUUCUUCAAACGAACUCGGGCUGUCAAGUAAUGACAGCCCGACCACAAUGUAGUAAUUGCUUGGUCAGAGUCAAAUCUCUCUUUACACGCGGCUCCUCUGCAAGAAAUCGUUUCAAGUCAAUCACAUGUAUACUUUAAAUUAAACCAGCUCGAAGCUAACUGCUAAAAGAAAAGAUUUACUAUGAUGUUGACACAAAAGGAAAGGAAAAGAAAAAAAUUUUAUGGUCUCUAAAAUCAUACGAGGAUCCCACCUCCAACAAUGAAAACAAAGCUAUGAUUUUUAGAUGAAACAUUCAAAGAUAAAUCACAAUAAUCUCCCAAAAAUUAAUAAUGGGGUCAAAUUGCUUGUUUCCCCCAAUUUGUUGCAAAAAGGACCCACCAACCACGAGAAAUCCCGAAUUAAUCGCAUGGAGCACGACGUGGUGAUUGCGACCACCACCCAACCCCAUUCUACAGACGAAGCAGGACAAUGAUAAUUCGAUGGAAACCAAAAACUCAUUUGUGAUUUUAAAAAAAAAAAGAAAUCGAAUUUCAGAAGAUUAAUCAAUGUAAAACUGAAACGAUAAUGAGUAAUGUUGUGAUUUAGAGAGAGAGGGAGAAAGGAAGGAGAACUCACCGCAGAGAGAAACGGAGAAGAGGGAGAUGAAUCUUUUUCUUUUUCUUUCUCUUUCUUUCUUUCUUUCUGUGUUUAGGGCAACGAUAAUCCUUCGAUAUUCUCUUCAGAUAUAUAUAUAUAUAUACCGCCUUCAAAUAGAACAAAAAAAAAACUAUUUAUUGUUUUGUUUUCUCAUAACAAGUUUAAUUAUAAAAACAAUUUAAUUUGAUAUAAAAACAAAGGCAAAUCUCCAAAAUAGCACUUUUCUAAGUUUAUAUCACAAAAAUAGCAUUCCAAAACUAAAAUGACCAAAAUAGCACAUUUUUAAGUUUAUCCUCUGAAAAUUUUAAUUUUUUUAUUUUUCAAAAUUUGAAAUCUUAUCCCAAAACCUCAUUUCUCAACUCUAAACCCUAAACCCUAAACCAUAAACUCUAAACCCUAAACUCUAAACCCUAAACCCUAAACUCUAAACCCUAAACCCUAAACCCUAACCCUAAACUCUAAACCCUAAACCCUAAACUCUAAACCCUAAACCCUAAACCCUAAAUCCUAAACACCACCCUUUAACUCUAAACCUUAAGUUUGUGACUUUUGAUAAAACAUUAAGUGCUAUUUUUGUGACUUUUGACCUUGAAUGCUAGUUUGGGAACAAAAACUUGAUUUAGUGCUAUUUUUGUCUUUUUCUCUAAAAACAAUUUAGUUAUCUUGAAAAAAAAAUAUUAGUGUCUUUUUACAAUUUAUUUAUUUGUUUCGUUCUUAUGUUUAUUUUGUAAAAGCUUUUAUGGAUCUGAUAACUAGUAAUAUUUUACACCAAAAAAAACUAGUAAUAUUAGGCUAAAGGAGUGUAGUGAAAUUUGUCAAGAAAGUUGUUUAUUAGUAUAUGUAAGAUUAUAUCGAAUGUACUAACUUAUUUUAUUCUUUUUUAUAGUGAAAUUUCAAAAUAAAAGAAUAAUGUUUUUUUUAUAAGUCCUAUUGACUGAUCCGGUCGGUUCCGGGAGGAACGCGCAUAAUGGUACAAAGUGGACUAGCCUGAAAGCGUACCACACUGCCUGACCAAUGUCACGGGGUGGACCAAUCAUUUUUUAUGGCCCACCACGUAAAUCAUUUGGGCCGAAGCCCAAGCCCAGACUGACCAAGUAGUGAUAAUUUAAUUCCCAGGAGAAUCAAAUUCAUGACUGAUGUGGGUACACACCAAACCCAAGAGAUUGCCACUAGGCUACCACCACUUAGUUAAAACUGUUGUGUUACAAAAAAAACUGUUUAUAGUGACUAACCCCAUCCCGAAAGGCCCCAUAUAUCCAGGAAAUCCCGAAAGAUUUAAUUGGAGAGGUAUAGUACCACAACGCUGAUAGAGUAUCGAACCUUCGACUUCUGUUAGUCGUCUGUGACUAACCCCACCCCGAAAGACCCCAUAUAUCCAGGAAAUCCCGAAAGAUUUAUUUGGAAAGGUAUAGUACUACUACCACGUUGACAGAGUAUCGAACCUUCGACUUUUGGUAGUCGUUCGUAAGAAUCUCAAGGAACUACUAGGCCAACUUGAGAUUUCGAAAUAAUGUUAUUUAUUUCCUUAUCGCUAUGAAAUAAAUGACAUUUCCUUUUUUAAGUAAACUUUUAUUUAACCAGAAAAAUGUUCAAUUGACGUAUGAAUCAUACCAUCCCACCACUUGGAUGCGGAGCAUAAAGACAUUGAUGUUUUGUGACGCGAAUAUUAACAAAAAAGGUUCAUAAACGAGUUAUAUCAUGUGGCUCGGAAUCAGACGGUGUAAAGAAGGCAGGGUAUAAUUAUUGAAAAUCCUUUUUAAGUGCCAUAUUUUUUCCUUAAAAUAAUUAUAAUAAUUUCUUGUCAACUUUUAUGUGAAGGAAUAUUCGCUUUGGAUAUCCAAUAAAAAAAAGGGUACGGGGGAAUCUUGGUUUUACACUACGCCAAGUUGUCCCCACCACCACCAUUUCAAUCUCUUCCUUCUUUUUUGGAAGUUUUGGGAGAUUUGAUUUCUAUUCCUGAUCAUCAGACCAAAGUGUUUGGUCUAGUGUCUGCAAACUUACUUUCUGCAAACUUACUUUCUUGCUGAAAUAUAUAUGGGUUUGAAAGUGGGAGAGGAGAAAUGCAGAAAAAAGCAGAGAAAAUAAUAUACAGAUUGAUCUGUGUUUAGUUCCCAAUCAACAUUAAAAAUGUUAAGAUAUACUCUCAAUCCCCUUGAUUGAUACAACAUUAACUACUCUGUAAAUGCACAAUAUAUUAUUUCCUUAUGCUCUGCUCUCGAUUAUGUAUAUAUGUCUAUGUUCAGUCUAUCAAUAAGAUUAUCUUCCAUAUUCAACAUGGUAUCAGAGCAUUGACUUCUUGACCUAAAUUUUUUUUUUCUCUGCGCCUCCAUCUUCUUCUCUUCUUCCCUCCCGCUCCUUUCUCUGUAUCUCUGUUUCUUCAUUCCUUGAUUCUCUGAGACAUCAUGAACACUGAAAGCUCUGCAUCCGUUGAACAGACCUCUGUUUUCAAUGUUCGAAACCCUCAAAGUACGUUGCUCUCGGUGAACAUGUCAAGUGUCACCAAACUCACCAACGUCAACUAUCUUAUGUGAAGUAAGCAAGUCACGGCUUUACUCGAAGGUCAUGAACUACAUCCGUUCCUUACUGACACUGAUCAAGCUCCUCCACCAAUGAUCACCGUGGAAGGCCAAGCUACGCCGAACCCUGCCUUCGCUGCCUGGAGACGAUAAAGAUCGCCUCCUGUUCAGCGCCAUGAUCGGAGCCAUCUCCCUUCUGGUUCAAUCCAUCGUCUCCAGCGCCACAACUUCAGUUGAGAUCUGGAGCCUCCUCGCUACUGCCUUUGGAAAUCCGACACGAGGUCACAUCCGCCAGCUCAAACAUCAAAUCAAAAGUUGUACCAAGGGCACCAAAACCAUCUCAGAAUACCUGCGCAUCAUCAAAGCCAAGGUUGACGAUUUGGCUUUGCUUGGGAAACCGAUGGAUCCUGAAGAUCUAAUAGAACAAAUCCUCGCUGGACUUGGUGAAGAGUACAAGCCUGAGAUUGAUGCCAUUAAUGGCAGAGAUCAACCCAUCUUCUUCGCUGAGCUACAUGAGCGGUUACUUAAACGCGAAGCUAUGCUUAUGUGCACGGAAACUCCUCAAGCAACACCUAUCGUGGCUAAUGCAACUGAUACUCGAUCAUGGAGAUCCAACAACAACCAGCAAGGCCGUAGCAAUCAAAACUCUCGUCCCCACAGCAACAACAACAAUCGCCAGUACCAAAACAAUCAACAACGUGGAGGAAGAGGACAAUAUCAAGGUCGGUGCCAAGCGUAUGGUGUUCAUGGCCAUAGUGCCAAGUUUUGCCCUGAGUUUCGUAUUGUACGUGGGUCUCAAGCAACUCAACAAUGGCAAUCCUCUCCCAACCCACAGCAGUGGCAGUUUGCCACACAACCAUGGCAGCCAAGAGCUAAUCCAGCAAUGCUUUCCGACUCCUCAACUUGGCUGCUGGACUCCGGAGCCUCACACCACAUGACCUCUGAUCUCAGCAAUCUCUCUCUCCACGCACCUUACAAUGGCAGUGACGAUGUGAUGCUUGAAGACGGCUCGGGUCUCCAGAUAUCACACACUGGUUCUUUCUCUAUUCACACUUACACUCGUCCCUUCUUUAUUGACAAAGUUCUACGUGUUCCUUCACUUGCAAAAAUCUCAUAUCUGUUUUUCAACUUUGCUCAACUAACGGCGUUUCUGUGACCUUUACACCAACUUAUUAUCAGGUGAGAGACCACCAAACGGGAACCCUUCGGCUGGAAGGCAAGCCUAAAGAUGGAACAUACGAGUGGCCAACUCCGAGUUCCUCCUAUCGUCCAUCUCUUGCGUUUGCUUCCACCAUCAAAACCACUCUCUCAGAUUGGCAUUCUCGUUUAGGCCAUCCGGCUGUUCCUAUCUUAAAACAUAUUGUUUCUGCUUUUCAUUUACCAGUUUCAUCAAACGCUUUAUUAGACAAGCCUUGCAAUGCUUGUUCUAUCAAUAAGAUGCACAAGUUACCGUUUUCCACUUCAACUUUGCAAUCUAAUCAUCCUCUUGAUAUUGUUUUUUCUGAUGUGUGGACUUCACCAAUAAUUUCAGUAGAUGGUUUCAAAUAUUAUGUUAUCUUCGUGGAUCAUUUCACAAGAUACACAUGGAUUUAUCCCUUGAAACAAAAGUCUCAAGUUUUUGAAGUUUUUUCAAAAUUUCGAUCUCUAGUUGAAAAUCGAUUUCAGUUCAAACUUAAGACCUUGUACACUGACAAUGGUGGUGAGUACAUUGGUCUUUCGAGUUUUCUAGCUAGUCAUGGGAUUUCUCAUUUUACAACUCCACCUCACACCCCUGAGCACAAUGGACUAGCUGAGCGACGCCACAGACAUAUAGUCGAAACAGGCUUAGCUCUACUGUCUCAUGCUUCAAUGCCUCGGUCAUAUUGGACUUAUGCAUUUGCAGCUGCAGUAUACUUAAUUAACUGUAUGCCUACACCUCUACUUCAACUCAAGUCGCCAUUUCAAAUUCUGUUUUCUCAGACUCCAAACUUUGAAAAAUUAAAAGUUUUUGGCUGCUUGUGUUUCCCCUGGCUCAGGCCAUAUGCAUCUAACAAACUUGAUGUUCGCUCAACACCUUGUGUGUUCUUAGGAUACUCUAUUACACAGAGCGCUUAUUUUUGUCUUGAUCGUACUAACUCGAGGAUUUAUACCUCACGUCAUGUGUUGUUUCAUGAAAAUGCUUUUACCUUUAGUGUUGCAGGAAAUCUCACAUCAAAUGGGCCAGCACAAGUAGAGGAGACACAUGCUAGGCCAUCAACCGUAACGCCUACUCAGAGAUAUCAACCACCAGUGCAAUCAACACAACCCAUCCCUGCUCCAGCAACUACCAAUCCAGUUCCUGCUCCUACUGCAGUACCUGAUGCGAUUUCUCCUCCUACAAUACCUUCAACAACAACUGUUGCAGCAACUAGUCACCAUUUCAAAUUCUGUUUUCUCAGACUUCAAACUUUGAAAAAUUAAAAUUUUUUGGCUGCUUGUGUUUCCCCUGGCUCAGGCCAUAUGCAUCUAACAAACUUGAUGCUCGCUCAACACCUUGUGUGUUCUUAGGAUACUCUAUUACACAGAGCGCUUAUUUUUGUCUUGAUCGUACUAACUCGAGGAUUUAUACCUCACGUCAUGUGUUGUUUCAUGAAAAUGUUUUUCCCUUUAGUGUUGCAGGAAAUCUCACAUCAAAUGGGCCAGCACAAGUAGAGGAGACACAUGCUAGGCCAUCAACCGUAACGCCUACUCAGAGAUAUCAACCACCAGUGCAAUCAACACAACCCAUCCCUGCUCCAGCAACUACCAAUCCAGUUCCUGCUCCUACUGCAGUACCUGAUGCGAUUUCUCCUCCUACAAUACCUUCAACAACAACUGUUGCAGCAACUUCAGCGACUCAACAAACUGAAGCACCACAACAAGCUGCAGCACCACAACAGCAACCCCCACGCUUAAGCACUAGAACCCGCAAGCCUGUUAACAAACUCAACCUUCACGCCACUGUCCAACAGCCAACGGAGACAAUACCUACAUCAGUUGCACAAGCUCUCAAAGAUCCUCGGUGGAGAGCUGCAAAGCAGGCUGAGAUAGAUUCUUUAUUUCGAAAUAAAACUUAUACUCUGGUCACUCCUGAAAUGGCUUCUAAUAUUGUUGGAUGCAGGUGGAUUUUCACAAUUAAAAGACUACCAAAUGGAGCGGUUGACAGAUUCAAAAUGGCUCCAUAUGUUAACCAUCCGGUGUUGCUGAAGGUAUGAAAGACGAGAUUCUUAUGUUGCUCUUCAUCCAACCAAUCAGCCAAAUGAUUAACCAGCGACUCGAUGUUCUUCUCUGCUUUUCCUCCAACUUGGUAGCUCAUAAUCUCAUUCAUGGGGAGAGUAAACGUGAUCACAUGGUAA